This 446-nucleotide ribosomal RNA is filed under the name uncultured bacterium. RNAcentral's name for it is "bacterial SSU rRNA". It matches the Rfam family "Bacterial small subunit ribosomal RNA", at positions 354 to 796 of the family's 1533-position model. The record is from RNAcentral.
GUGGGGAAUUUUGCGCAAUGGGCGAAAGCCUGACGCAGCAACGCCGCGUGUGUGACGAAGGCCCUAGGGUUGUAAAGCACUGUGGGAGGGGAAGAAAAAACGGGGGUUGUACCCCGUCUUGACGGUACCCUGUUAGAAAGCACCGGCUAACUCCGUGCCAGCAGCCGCGGUAAUACGGAGGGUGCAAGCGUUGUUCGGAAUUAUUGGGCGUAAAGGGCGUGUAGGUGGCAGUCCAAGUCUGGUGUGAAAGCCCACGGCUCAACCGUGGAACUGCAUUGGAAACUGGGCAGCUCGAGUGUUGGAGGGGGUCGCGGAAUUCCCGGUGUAGAGGUGAAAUUCGUAGAUAUCGGGAGGAACACCAGUGGCGAAGGCGGCGACCUGGCCAAUCACUGACACUGAGACGCGAAAGCGUGGGGAGCAAACAGGAUUAGAAACCCUGGUAGUCC